This 253-nucleotide ribosomal RNA is filed under the name uncultured Acidiphilium sp. Its description in RNAcentral is "partial 16S ribosomal RNA". It matches the Rfam family "Bacterial small subunit ribosomal RNA", at positions 524 to 776 of the family's 1533-position model. Lineage: Bacteria; Pseudomonadati; Pseudomonadota; Alphaproteobacteria; Acetobacterales; Acidocellaceae. The record is from RNAcentral.
UACGAAGGGGGCUAGCGUUGCUCGGAAUGACUGGGCGUAAAGGGCGCGUAGGCGGCAUACACAGUCAGAUGUGAAAUUCCUGGGCUCAACCUGGGGACUGCAUUUGAUACGUGUAAGCUAGAGUGGAGAAGAGGGUCGUGGAAUUUCCAGUGUAGAGGUGAAAUUCGUAGAUAUUGGAAAGAACACCGGUGGCGAAGGCGGCGACCUGGUCUUUAACUGACGCUGAGGCGCGAAAGCGUGGGGAGCAAACAGG